Molecule: long non-coding RNA, 434 nt
Organism: Stegostoma tigrinum
Lineage: Eukaryota; Metazoa; Chordata; Chondrichthyes; Orectolobiformes; Stegostomatidae
Exons: 2
Source: RefSeq, a predicted model, not a curated record
CUCUGAUCAGCGGACGCUCCAGAAACAAAGUAUGGUUUACGGUGGGAAAUCUACAAUUCGCGAUCGAUCGUCUGGGACAGCUUCAAGUGUGGCUUUCACCCCGCUUCAGGGCCUGGAGAUCGUGAACCCCCAGGCGGCAGAGAAGAAGGUGGCAGAGACCAACCAGAAAUAUUUCUCCAACAUGGCAGAGUUCCUGAAGGUGAAGCGAGAAAAGGAGGAGAAAGUGCGGCUGUUCUGAUGGCUCGAGCAGCAGGAAGGCACGCGGUGGGUGAGUGCGUCUGAGGGAGACGGGAGGCUCUCGCACUCACUCCGCCAUGGACUGGCGCACGCACCGUGCCAACCCCACCUUCCAGGGGUUGGCUGUACACAGCGUGGGGCUGCCACAGCCCCAGCUUUUUAUUUAUCGCAAAGCUCAAUAAACUGUUGACACACCA